GUGGGGAAUCUUCCGCAAUGGACGAAAGUCUGACGGAGCAACGCCGCGUGAGUGAAGAAGGUUUUCGGAUCGUAAAGCUCUUUCGUUAGGGACGAACGUGCUCUUUGUGAAUAAUGAGGAGUAAUGACGGUACCUAAAUAAGAAGCCACGGCUAACUACGUGUCAGCAGCCGCGGUAAUACGUAGGUGGCAAGCGUUGUCCGGAAUUAUUGGGCGUAACGCGCGCGCAGGCGGGAUAUCAAGUCUGUCUUAAAAGUGCGAGGCUCAACCUCGUGAGGGGACGGAAACUGGUAUUCUUGAGUGUCGGAGAGGAAAGUGGAAUUCCAAGUGUAGCGGUGAAAUGCGUAGAGAUUUGGAAGGACACCAGUGGCGAAGGCGACUUUCUGGACGAUGUCUGACGCUGAGGCGCGAAAGCUAGGGGAGCGAACGGGAUUAGAAACCCUAGUAGUCC
RNAcentral lists this ribosomal RNA (450 nucleotides) under uncultured bacterium. Its description in RNAcentral is "partial 16S ribosomal RNA". It matches the Rfam family "Bacterial small subunit ribosomal RNA", at positions 354 to 796 of the family's 1533-position model. The record is from RNAcentral.